GCCUCUCUCCUUUCCCACUCUCACCCCGACUCCCUCUCGCUUCCUCCCGCACCUCGCGCCGCCACCCUGCCUCCUGUCCUCCCGUGGCCGUCGACCACCCUCCCCGCCCCGCGUCUUCGCUCAGUCGCCGACUCGCUCCCCACCAGCCAUACUCCCUGACCGCCGCCGCCGCCGCCACCACCAUCCUCCCCGUUUGCCGUCGCCACGCCAUCGCCGCCACCUACCAGACGAUGCUGUGAAGGACGACACCAGAGAGGGAUGGCGUCGCCGGUGUGGUGGAGGGUGAAGGAGGUGCACGUGGCAAGGUUGUCGUGCCGUCCCGCGGAUCCGUGCUGGCCGACGACGAGGUGGCCACCCGGGUGCAGCACGCUCCAUACUACGCCGUCAACUGCCACCACCGGGCUCCCCCGAAGAUUGGUUGGAUAGAGAUGGCUCGAAGGUUUUGUGGGUAGAAUGUGAGAUAUCCCAAUUAAAGUUCCAUGAAGAAAGAUCCCAAAUGAUGGCAUGUUGUGAUGCUACUCUAUGGCUUGUGGGCUAAAUUAAUGGAAGGAUAAUGAAUUAGCAGUUAAGGUGAUUAACCCCGGUAGGCAGGGGACGCGAGGAGGCAGGAAGCACAGUUGCAGUGCGGAGCAAGGC
Molecule: long non-coding RNA, 636 nt
Organism: Triticum aestivum (bread wheat)
Lineage: Eukaryota; Viridiplantae; Streptophyta; Magnoliopsida; Poales; Poaceae
Exons: 3
Source: RefSeq, a predicted model, not a curated record